GCCGGCAGCUAGCUCUCUGCAAAGCUCACGUGGUCGCCCACUGAAGCUAAGCAGGACUGCGCCCGAUCAGUACCUGGAUUGGAGACCACAUGGGAAAGCUAGGUUGCUGCCAUAA
Molecule: ribosomal RNA, 115 nt
Filed under: Danio rerio (zebrafish)
Lineage: Eukaryota; Metazoa; Chordata; Actinopteri; Cypriniformes; Danionidae
Source: RNAcentral